GGAGAGAUGCAGGAGUGGUUGAACUGGCCGCUCUCGAAAAGCGGUAAGCCGCAAGGCUUCGAGGGUUCGAAUCCCUCUCUCUCCGCCA
Molecule: transfer RNA, 88 nt
Filed under: Candidatus Saccharimonadota bacterium
Lineage: Bacteria; Candidatus Saccharimonadota
Description: tRNA-Ser
Rfam family: tRNA
About the family: Transfer RNA (tRNA) molecules are approximately 80 nucleotides in length. Their secondary structure includes four short double-helical elements and three loops (D, anti-codon, and T loops).
Source: RNAcentral